This 465-nucleotide ribosomal RNA is filed under the name Vreelandella stevensii. Its description in RNAcentral is "partial 16S ribosomal RNA". It matches the Rfam family "Bacterial small subunit ribosomal RNA", at positions 338 to 795 of the family's 1533-position model. The record is from RNAcentral. Lineage: Bacteria; Pseudomonadati; Pseudomonadota; Gammaproteobacteria; Oceanospirillales; Halomonadaceae.
CCUACGGGAGGCUGCAGUGGGGAAUAUUGGACAAUGGGCGAAAGCCUGAUCCAGCCAUGCCGCGUGUGUGAAGAAGGCCUUCGGGUUGUAAAGCACUUUCAGUGGGGAAGAAAGCCUUGGGGCUAAUACCCUCGAGGAAGGACAUCACCCACAGAAGAAGCACCGGCUAACUCCGUGCCAGCAGCCGCGGUAAUACGGAGGGUGCGAGCGUUAAUCGGAAUUACUGGGCGUAAAGCGCGCGUAGGCGGUCUGAUAAGCCGGUUGUGAAAGCCCCGGGCUCAACCUGGGAACGGCAUCCGGAACGGUCAGGCUAGAGUGCAGGAGAGGAAGGGAGAAUUCCCGGUGUAGCGGUGAAAUGCGUAGAGAGCGGGAGGAAUACCAGUGGCGAAGGCGGCCUUCUGGACUGACACUGACGCUGAGGUGCGAAAGCGUGGGUAGCAAACAGGAUUAGAUACCCUAGUAGUC